Mustela putorius furo (domestic ferret) is the source of this 98-nucleotide small nuclear RNA. The record is from Ensembl. NCBI's taxonomy places the organism in Eukaryota, Metazoa, Chordata, Mammalia, Carnivora, Mustelidae.
GUGCUUGUUUCAGCAGCACAUAUAUUGAAAUUGAAGUGAUACAGAGUUGGCUCCUGUGCAAGGAAGACAUGCAGAUUAGUGAAGUGUUUGGACUGUUG